Homo sapiens (human) is the source of this 1354-nucleotide long non-coding RNA. Ensembl annotates it as long intergenic non-protein coding RNA 2128. NCBI's taxonomy places the organism in Eukaryota, Metazoa, Chordata, Mammalia, Primates, Hominidae. The record is from Ensembl.
CAGGGGCAGACAGCUCCAGGUGCUGGAGGCUGCCGCGCGGAGAGGUCCGCCCAGCCAGGAUGUGCGUUGUCCUGAGAAUCGAAUUACCCGGAACCCCAGAGCUCACCCUCUCUGAAGGAGAGCAGGUGCCUCCUGAGAGCAGGGCUUCUCUACCUUGGGGCACUAUGAACAUUCUGAGUGGGUGCCCACUUUGUUCAUCUCUGCUCACUGGGGGAGCCAGGACACGGAUCCAGGUUUUCUGACUCCAGGUCUCAGGCUUGCUCCAUAGCGCCACCUGCUGGUGACGGCAAUCGGUAGGCACCCAAAUCAAGACUCAGAUUUCCUCAUCUCAGAAGUUGUCCACUUCUUCUCCGACCUCCACGGUAACUCGGAACCACACCGUGGAGUUAUCCCUGUGUCCUCUUUCUCGGAAGUUCCACAUCCAACCCCUCAGCAGGUCUCAGCGGCACUCUCACCACCUCCUCUGCUCUGUUCCUGUUUCUCUUGGAUGGUCGAAUGUUUCCUAAGGAGUGUCUGCUGCUUCACGCUUGCCCCCUGGAGUGGCAUCUAAAAGGAUACCCUACAACUAACAGGCAUGAUGCCAUCAAGACAUCUUGAGCCUGGCUACCUCCCGUGGCCUGUAUUUUGUCCACAGGAAACUCGCGCAGUCUCACUACAGCAAAUUGAGGUGGUAUGGGGUGCCUGCUGCUGCCUCUCUCUUCACCUUUCCACAGAGGGCUGCCCCAGCCUGACUCCCACUUCCAGAGUUUCUCCAGCCAGGAGAAUCCUGAAAUCUCUGUAAAUAAGCAAUCCAGGAGCCAGAGAAUCAUGGGAUCUCAUAUAAACAAAUCAUCAAGGAAAAACACAGCCAGAGUCUCCAUUUGGUAAACCUCCGUGACUGGGGAUCCCCGGCCACCCAGAAAGCAGUAUUGCCUGCCAUGCAUGUCAUCACUGAUUUUUACUGCUGCAGCAGACUCCGUCAGACCUGCCUGCUGCUUCAGCGAAUUGUUCAGUGCACACCACCAGCUACCUGCUGUAAGCAUUCACACUCCUCUACCUGCCUGGCAGCAUUUCUCAGCUGAACACAGGCCAGGCCAGAAGUGCCAGGGAUUUAAUGCCCUUAGAAGUAGCUCUCUACCAAUGACAAAUGGAGCUGGUGGAUACAUUCUCAGCUUCCUCCCCUCUCAGGUGGAACAGCCCUGAGAUGUGCUCUAUGCAAUCUCCCACAAGUCCCCAGCAGGCUCAAGCUCCCAUUGUCCAACCCUGGUAACCUGCUCAUUGACACCCCUGUCUUGCCUUCCCUUCCUGGCCUCACUUUCUCACUCUCUUACUGUUGCCUCCUGAGAUCGCAUCCAAAAUAAAUGACCUGCACCCA